RNAcentral lists this ribosomal RNA (347 nucleotides) under uncultured bacterium. Its description in RNAcentral is "partial 16S ribosomal RNA". It matches the Rfam family "Bacterial small subunit ribosomal RNA", at positions 338 to 682 of the family's 1533-position model. The record is from RNAcentral.
CCUACGGGUGGCAGCAGUGAGGAAUAUUGGUCAAUGGGCUUACGCCUGAACCAGCCAAGUCGCGUGAGGGAAGACUGCCCUAUGGGUUGUAAACCUCUUUUGUCAGGGAGCAACGCCGGCUACGUGUAGCCGGACGGAGAGUACCUGAAGAAAAAGCAUCGGCUAACUCCGUGCCAGCAGCCGCGGUAAUACGGAGGAUGCGAGCGUUAUCCGGAUUUAUUGGGGUUCAAGGGGGCGUAGGCGGAAUGCCAAGUCCGCGGUAAAAUCGCGGGGCUCAACCUCGCUCCUCCGUUGAAACUGGCGUUCUUGCUUGGGCGCGACGUAUGCGGCAUGCGUGGUGUAGCGGU